Molecule: long non-coding RNA, 1336 nt
Filed under: Macaca mulatta (Rhesus monkey)
Lineage: Eukaryota; Metazoa; Chordata; Mammalia; Primates; Cercopithecidae
Description: lncRNA (ENSMMUG00000057804.1)
Source: RNAcentral
CAGUAGUCAUUUCACGGGUUCUAUAUGGUGAACAUAUCUGAGAUGAUUCUUUUUCAGUAGUCCUGGGACAACUAGAUCUUUGACUUACUACUUUCGUCCUUUUGUCCUGAUUUUUAGGGAAUAUUUGUUUAUAGCCAAACUAAAAGAGCAGGCUGCAGUACAGCCACAAGACCCAUUUCUGUGUAAUAUCGCCGAGCGGAAAGCUUAAAUUCCCCAGUCAGAAAAUAAGCAUCCACUGAGAGAUGAAUCUUGUAGAAAAGUAGUGAUGAAAAACUCAAUCCACACCCAGAGUUUGGCGAAGGUCACUUCUGGAUGAUGAUGGGGGGAAAUGAAGCUGUGUAUUUGUGAACCAAAUUAAUACAUGAAUCUGUAAAGCAUUCAGGCUGACCUUGAGACAAAUGCAUCUCCUUCUUCCAACCAAAUUAUAGUUUCUAACUCCACAGAAGGAUUGCCUUUCUGAGUGCUGACUCCAAGAAAGCGUGCUCCCUGGCGGAUGGUUCCUGACAGAGAAUUGCAAUUUUCAAUACUGACUUCCUGCCAGCAAGAAGAAAACAGAAAGGAAAAAGCAUACGAAGGAGUGGAGGAAACAAAUUGUAUAUCCAGGGCAUACCUGAAGGUGGGAGGCACUGUUAACCAAACUGCCUUGGCUACCAGGUUGAGAUUUUUCUCCAUAAAAGCUGAAACCAUUCAUUGAUCCUUUCUAGUCUUGAGAGACAGUGUUUGCAAGAAUCAAAGAAAUGGGCAACAAGAGAGCUAGACAUAUUUUAGCAUUUAGGUCUAUUUUUUCUCCUUUAAUUGGACAAAAACAUUCUUAAGAAAUACUUUACCAUACAUGCCAAUUGGAUGAACAUCAAGUCACAGAAUAAAAACAGCUAUUGUCGGUCAAUCAGCAGAAUACCACCGAAAUCUUGAAUGUAUCUUCCAAAUGCAGCUAAUAGUAAACAUAUGUAUACUGCUCUCAGCAAAAAUUAAAAAUUAAUCACACCAAAAUUAAGAACAAAAUUUAUUUAAGGAAAAAAUUAUUCUAGUUAGUGAGGUCAGAUUUUUUCAGCUCAACCUAAAUUAUUGCUACCAACUCUCAGAUGUGUUAUUUCAUGUUAGUGUGUGGGAAAGAAAGGGUGUAUGCUAUUGCUUUGUUACUGUUGCAAAAGUAAGCACUUCUUUAAAAAAUACAGAAUAAUUACAGAAGAAAAUAAUAAAAAAAGAAUGAAAAUGAGAAUCUUCCCUUCCCCUUACAAAAAAAAAAAAAAAGAAAAAGAAAAAAACUAUGAGAGUGACUAUAAAACCUUCAAGCAGUAUAAAAAGGUGCCAGUAUAGGUACAUUUAACAAGUACCU